GUUCAAACGAGGAAAGGCUUACGGUGGAUACCUAGGCACCCAGAGACGAGGAAGGGCGUAGUAAGCGACGAAAUGCUUCGGGGAGUUGAAAAUAAGCGUAGAUCCGGAGAUUCCCGAAUAGGUCAACCUUUCGAACUGCUGCUGAAUCCAUGGGCAGGCAAGAGACAACCUGGCGAACUGAAACAUCUUAGUAGCCGGAGGAAAAGAAAGCAAAAGCGAUUCCCGUAGUAGCGGCGAGCGAAAUGGGAGCAGCCUAAACCGUGAAGCGGGGUGUGGAGAGCAAUAAAGCAGUCGUGCUGCUAGGCGAAGCGGUGAAAGUGCCCGAACCCUGAUGGCUAUAGUCCAGUAGCCGAAAGGCAUCACUAGCUUACGCUCUGA
RNAcentral lists this non-coding RNA (378 nucleotides) under Corchorus capsularis. Its description in RNAcentral is "Bacterial large subunit ribosomal RNA". It matches the Rfam family "Bacterial large subunit ribosomal RNA", at positions 1 to 405 of the family's 2925-position model. The record is from Rfam by way of RNAcentral. Lineage: Eukaryota; Viridiplantae; Streptophyta; Magnoliopsida; Malvales; Malvaceae.